AUUGAACGCUGGCGGCAGGCCUAACACAUGCAAGUCGAACGGUAACAGGAAGAAGCUUGCUUCUUUGCUGACGAGUGGCGGACGGGUGAGUAAUGUCUGGGAAACUGCCUGAUGGAGGGGGAUAACUACUGGAAACGGUAGCUAAUACCGCAUAACGUCGCAAGACCAAAGAGGGGGACCUUCGGGCCUCUUGCCAUCGGAUGUGCCCAGAUGGGAUUAGCUAGUAGGUGGGGUAACGGCUCACCUAGGCGACGAUCCCUAGCUGGUCUGAGAGGAUGACCAGCCACUCAGGAAGUGAGACGCGGUCCAGACGCCUACGUGAGGCAGCAGUGGGGAAUAGUGGACAAAGGGCGCAAGCCUGAUGCAGCCAUGCCGCGUGUAUGAAGAAGGCCUGCGUGUUGUAAAGUACUUUCAGCGGGGAGGAAGGGAGUAAAGUUAAUACCUUUACUCAUGGACGUGACCCGCAGAAGAAGCACCGGCUAACUCCGU
This 489-nucleotide ribosomal RNA is filed under the name uncultured bacterium. RNAcentral's name for it is "partial 16S ribosomal RNA". It matches the Rfam family "Bacterial small subunit ribosomal RNA", at positions 30 to 506 of the family's 1533-position model. The record is from RNAcentral.